This 977-nucleotide ribosomal RNA is filed under the name uncultured bacterium. RNAcentral's name for it is "bacterial SSU rRNA". It matches the Rfam family "Bacterial small subunit ribosomal RNA", at positions 1 to 1247 of the family's 1533-position model. The record is from RNAcentral.
CCCCUUAGAGUUUGAUCCUGGCUCAGAUUGAACGCUGGCGGCAUGCCUUACACAUGCAAGUCGAACGGUAACAGGUCUUCGGAUGCUGACGAGUGGCGAACGGGUGAGUAAUACAUCGGAACGUGCCCAGUAGUGGGGGAUAGCCCGGCGAAAGCCGGAUUAAUACCGCAUACGACCUGAGGGUGAAAGCGGGGGAUCGCAAGACCUCGCGCUAUUGGAGCGGCCGAUAUCAUAUUAGCUAGUUGGUGGGGUAAAGGCCUACCAAGGCGACGAUCUGUAGCUGGUCUGAGAGGACGACCAGCCACACUGGGACUGAGACACGGCCCACACUCCUACGGGAGGCAGCAGUGGGGAAUUUUGGACAAUGGGCGCAAGCCUGAUCCAGCCAUGCCGCGUGUGGGAAGAAGGCCUUCGGGUUGUAAACCACUUUUGUCAGGGAAGAAACGGUCCUUACUAAUAUUAGGGACUAAUGACGGUACCUGAAGAAUAAGCACCGGCUAACUACGUGCCAGCAGCCGCGGUAAUACGUAGGGUGCAAGCGUUAAUCGGAAUUACUGGGCGUAAAGCGUGCGCAGGCGGUUGUGCAAGACAGGUGUGAAAUCCCCGGGCUUAACCUGAGAACUGCACUUGUGACUGCACAGCUAGAGUACGGCAAAGGGGGGAUGGAAUUCCGCGUGUAGCAGUGAAAUGCGUAGAUAUGCGGAGGAACACCGAUGGCGAGGCCAUCCCCUGGGCCUGUACUGACGCUCAUGCACGAAAGCGUGGGGAGCAAACAGGAUUAGAUACCCCUGAUACUCCACGCCCUAAACGAUGUCCGACUGUGGUUUGUUGGGUCCUUCCACUGAACUCAAUAACGAAGCUACGCGUUACGUUCCGCCGCCCUGGGGGAGUACGGUCGCAAGAACUGAAAACUCAAAAGUAAUUGACGGCGCCCGCAUAAGCGGAUAGUGAGAGAAUGCGUGGUUUCUACAAUUCGA